UAAUCACCAGGCCUAAUAAAAGGCCUAGUGCUCAGGCCUAAAGGGGGGCAACUUUUUAGGAGAGUGGUGUGUGUGGGUGAAAGUUCUCCUUUCUGAGUUUUGUCAUUGCUUUUCCUGAGAAGCAUUUGCUUGGCAGAUUGGCCUUUUUUCUCUUUGUUUGGUGUAGAUUUCUGCUUGGUCAUCAUUUUUUCCCUAUAAAAGACGCUUGGGACAGCCAAUCAGAUUCAUCGGGGCUCACCGAUUCAGGAGAGGUCGGAUAAGCACGCCUCCAAAAUCAUCACUGCUUCCAGUCACGCCACCAUUCGGCCGUCUGAAGUGAACACCGCUGCCCUGGCCUGGUUUCAGAGGAGCAAGGUACUGUAACCUCUUUCAUACAAGAUGGCGACCGUCGACAAGUCACCAGAACAACGUACAAAAAAGGUACAAGAACGGGGCGAAUAGUUCGCAUCCCCUUCACCGGUCGCGAUCCCAGCAGCAGUGCUCCUGAGGACACGCGCACAGCGCUCUGUUGCUCUGCGAGAGAUCAGCUUGCCCUCGCACUUGCGAAACGGAGAGGUGACUCACGUUCUCAGUGCUCACGCGGCGCAGAGCAAAGGUCGCCCCGGAGCCAAAGGAAGGAAGCGCUAAAAAAAUGACGCGAACGGAGCCAUUUGUCGAAGGCGAUCGGAAAAAGAUUUUUUUUUUCUCUUUUUCUGUGAAUUAUGAAGAGACUAUGUAUUCUGUGAAUUCUAUAAAUGUCGUUUUCCUGA
Anguilla rostrata (American eel) is the source of this 749-nucleotide long non-coding RNA. RefSeq lists it as uncharacterized. Lineage: Eukaryota; Metazoa; Chordata; Actinopteri; Anguilliformes; Anguillidae. The transcript has 2 exons. The record is from RefSeq and is a predicted model, not a curated record.